Prunus dulcis (almond) is the source of this 1033-nucleotide long non-coding RNA. RefSeq lists it as uncharacterized. Lineage: Eukaryota; Viridiplantae; Streptophyta; Magnoliopsida; Rosales; Rosaceae. The transcript has 5 exons. The record is from RefSeq and is a predicted model, not a curated record.
AUCCAUGCUUGACCUUUUUUUGGCUUUUUGUUGUUUCCUAUGUACUUGUGGCAGACUUCCACCAAAAUGGGUUUUGUCUUUACCCAUUAUGUGUUUAGAGUCCUUCGGAUAAUAAUAAAAAUACUCAUCUUUGGUUUUGUAUUGACUUGACAGGAAGGCUUUCUUUGUUCUUGGCUUAUGUUGCUUCUGGGUUCUUCAACAGCCCCAACACAGGAGGCUUCUUGACUCACAUCAUUUGAGAGGGCCAUCAUACUGCCCAUUGAGGUGCUGGUUUUGCUUUGUCUUAGUUGCUUCAUGUUUUGCCAACAACAAAGUGAGAACCUUUUGCAAUUUGCUGCAGAGGAGUGCUGGCUUAGUAAUUUUCGUGAGCUGUCUGACUUGGGAUUUUUCUUUGUUGGUUAAUUUUGAAGCACAGAAAGUGGGUGUGAAUCAUCAGCUUUUCACGUUUUGCUACCUGUUCUUUCUCCAAUCUGCAGAUUUGGAAUUUUGCUCUGCUGAAGGCUCAUGUAACAUUUGUUUGUGGAACAUUUGUUUGUUGCAAAAAUGGUGGCGGGAGUGGCUGGGCACUACAAUUGUGAAAGAGAUGUUGACAUUUGUGUUGGGACUUUGAGCAAGGCUGCAGGUUGCCAUGGUGGAUUCAUAGCAUGCAGGCAAGUAUUCAUGCUAUCUUUCCGCUUAGAUAUUGUAAAUGCUUAGAAAGGAAACAUGGUGUAGAAGGGAAUUUUGGAAUCGGGUGCAAGACUUCCGUGUUCUCACUGGAAUCCUCAUAAGUAGUCCCAUAAUAUCUCUAUUGUAGGGAGCGAAGAAGAGAAUGCUCUGCAAUCCAGCCAGUUUUGUUUCCCUCUCUAUCUGUUUACUACGAGUGACAUUAAGCGCAACACACGUAAGAGCUGCACUCUACCUUUGUGUCAAUUUCCAAGAAGUCGGAAUCCAUGGCUCAAAUGGAUAUGCAAGGCUUUAGAACUUGAUUGUUUAGAUUCCAAUAGUUCAUAACUGUACAGAGAAUGAAAGUACCAAAACACAUUUACUGUAA